Long non-coding RNA from Vigna angularis (adzuki bean), 332 nucleotides. RefSeq lists it as uncharacterized. The record is from RefSeq and is a predicted model, not a curated record. The transcript is spliced from 3 exons. Lineage: Eukaryota; Viridiplantae; Streptophyta; Magnoliopsida; Fabales; Fabaceae.
GAGUUAUUGGUAAAUCUCGAGGUCAACUCGUUCAAAUUUUGUGUCCAAAGUGUAACCAACAACUAGAUUCAUGGGAAUGUGACUUCUAUGUUAUGUGUUGGAUUAAGACCAUCAUUCGAGCUGUCAUUACAGAUGACUGGAAUGAGCGCUUCAAGAGUACAUCUCCUAUACCAGAGGACACAAUUAGGCAGAUAAGGUAGGAGUGGACAACUUAUCUUCUGCAAAGAUGGAGUUAGGAAUAAUUUUAUUUGUUGUUGAACAUUGCUUAGUUUUAGUUUAAGUUUAUAUCUUGAUAGUUUUGGUAGUGGAUUAUUUUUUACAUUAAGUAGAAC